This 253-nucleotide ribosomal RNA is filed under the name uncultured bacterium. Its description in RNAcentral is "partial 16S ribosomal RNA". It matches the Rfam family "Bacterial small subunit ribosomal RNA", at positions 524 to 776 of the family's 1533-position model. The record is from RNAcentral.
UACGAAGGGGGCUAGCGUUGCUCGGAAUCACUGGGCGUAAAGGGUGCGUAGGCGGGUCUUUAAGUCAGGGGUGAAAUCCUGGAGCUCAACUCCAGAACUGCCUUUGAUACUGAAGAUCUUGAGUUCGGGAGAGGUGAGUGGAACUGCGAGUGUAGAGGUGAAAUUCGUAGAUAUCCGCAAGAACACCAGUGGCGAAGGCGGCUUACUGGUCCGGUUCUGACGCUGAGGCGCGAAAGCGUGGGGAGCAAACAGG